RNAcentral lists this ribosomal RNA (622 nucleotides) under Actinomycetes bacterium. RNAcentral describes it as "bacterial SSU rRNA". It matches the Rfam family "Bacterial small subunit ribosomal RNA", at positions 391 to 1022 of the family's 1533-position model. Lineage: Bacteria; Bacillati; Actinomycetota; Actinomycetes. The record is from RNAcentral.
GCAACGCCGCGUGAGGGAUGACGGCCUUCGGGUUGUAAACCUCUUUCACCUGUGACGAAGCGAAAGUGACGGUAGCAGGAGAAGAAGCACCGGCCAACUACGUGCCAGCAGCCGCGGUAAUACGUAGGGUGCGAGCGUUGUCCGGAAUUAUUGGGCGUAAAGGGCUCGUAGGCGGUUUGUCGCGUCGGGAGUGAAAACACCGGGCUUAACUCGGUGCUUGCUUUCGAUACGGGCAGACUAGAGGUAUGCAGGGGAGAACGGAAUUCCUGGUGUAGCGGUGAAAUGCGCAGAUAUCAGGAGGAACACCGGUGGCGAAGGCGGUUCUCUGGGCAUUACCUGACGCUGAGGAGCGAAAGUGUGGGGAGCGAACAGGAUUAGAUACCCUGGUAGUCCACACCGUAAACGUUGGGCGCUAGGUGUGGGGCCUAUUCCAUGGGUUCCGUGCCGCAGCUAACGCAUUAAGCGCCCCGCCUGGGGAGUACGGCCGCAAGGCUAAAACUCAAAGGAAUUGACGGGGGCCCGCACAAGCGGCGGAGCAUGCGGAUUAAUUCGAUGCAACGCGAAGAACCUUACCUGGGUUUGACAUAUGCCGGAAACACCUAGAGAUAGGUGCCCUUUUAGU